CCAAAUUCUUAAAAAGUACAGUUUAAUAACAGAUAUGUUUUUAUAUGUUAAUAUGCAAUGAGGUAUUAUUACUUUUAACUGAAUUGAUAAACAUUAAAAAUUCCCAAUAUUAAUUUCUAAUACAAUACAUACCAAUAAAUAUAACCUACCUGAACAAAUCAACUUUCAACUUCUCCGACCCUCAUUCCUUCACUUUUCCAAAUAUCUUCCUUGUAAACCAGGAUGCUCAUAUCUGUUUGGAUGGAUGGACUCUUGGAAAUCUUGGUUUGAUGCUUGGCAUGUAGUGGGUUCAACUUCACUGUCCUGGAACUGAGGAGAGGCUUCUACACCAGAUAUACAUGUCACCAAAUUGAGAAUGAAGAGGGGGCAUCUUGGGAACUGUUCUGUCCUCUUCUGAAGAAUACACUGGAGGACGGGAGCAGCUGCUGCCUCAGGAAGCCACAGCCUCAGCUAGCUGUUCCAGGUCCACCUGCUGUUGCUCCAAUCUGUUUCAGAGGAAAUCAGGAGUUGGAGAAAAGAGCC
RNAcentral lists this long non-coding RNA (522 nucleotides) under Heterocephalus glaber (naked mole-rat). Its description in RNAcentral is "lncRNA (ENSHGLG00000032297.1)". The record is from RNAcentral. Lineage: Eukaryota; Metazoa; Chordata; Mammalia; Rodentia; Bathyergidae.